GGGCAAUUUAAAAGAAAGAAAGAAAUGCGAAUAUAGGCCAAUUCGAAUGCCGCGCGAAAGGGGAAGGACCUAGAACACAAAUUUCCCAUUCAUGGGAAACAAGCGGAUCCUCCCCGGGUCGGGUCAUACGCGUGCGGGUUGUGCCAAAUGGGUCCAUACGGCGUCGUUUCAAAGGCUAUUGAACUUAGCCUGAAACGACACCACUCCAUGCUGUCAAUUAAAAGGGAAAUCAGCCCAAAAACUAGAAUGCUUUAACAAAGCAAAUAGGGGAAACCGAAACCCUAGAUGUUUGCCCCCAUUUAACCGCCGUUCGACCCUUAAUCCACCACGAAAAUCGAUGGAUAAAUGUAAGGGCCUUUCCUACCUCUACUCAAGCCAUGAUUUAAGGCCGAUCUCAACCCCGAGAUCCCAUCUCAGCUUAGACUUCGACGAAGGAGAAGGACCCCGAUGGCGUUUUCGCAAAGGUACGGGGUGACGUGGUAGCACGAGGGUGGUGUACGAAGGCGUACAGAGGUGGUACGGUGCUGGGGGGCUCAGUUGCGGCGCUGAGGGGCUCGAUUGCGGCGCUGAGCGAAUGGGGCUAGGGUUAGGGUUUCCAAUAAUUUCCAAUAGAUUGGCCCUAUCGGGCUCUAUUUUUGGUCUAGGUUAAUAUUAGUUUUGGGCUAUGGGUCAUGUAUUCAUUUUGGGUUUUGGAUUGUAAAAAAAAAGGACUUUUAAUUAAUGGGCUUUUGGACUUUUAUUAAUUAUUGGUUUUUGGUCUGUUUGUAACGGGCCGGGCAAAUUGGCCUGUUUACAAAUAUAAAAUAUUUUUAAGAAAACAA
This is a long non-coding RNA of Gossypium arboreum, 821 nucleotides long. RefSeq lists it as uncharacterized. Lineage: Eukaryota; Viridiplantae; Streptophyta; Magnoliopsida; Malvales; Malvaceae. The record is from RefSeq and is a predicted model, not a curated record. The transcript is spliced from 2 exons.